AUGAGUCUGAUAUAUUCCGAUGGAACCUCCAUUGGAAUGGACAAUUCUCUUAUGUAUAGAGCGUUAAUCCAGCCUAAUAUGCCAGUUGACAAUAACAAGAAGAUCUGGAAGAUGAAGAUACCUCUUAAGAGUAAAAUCUUUGCAUGGUAUCUUCGUCGAGGAGUCAUUUUUUCUAAAGAUACCCUUAUUAAGAAGAAUUGGCAUGGAAGUUCACAAUGUCUCUUUUGUCACCACGAUGAGACAAUAAAACAUUUAUUCUUCCAAUGCAAAUUAGCUCAUUCUAUAUGGUCAGUCAUCCAAAUAGCUUCUGUCUUGUAUCCUCCCUGUAGUGUUGCUAAUGUAUUUGGCAACUGGUUAGAUGGGAUUGAUCACAAGUUUAGAACUCUUCUCAACGUGGGAGCGCUUACCAUUAUUUGGUUGCUUUGGCUAUGUAGAAAUGAUAAGAUUUUUAAAAAUAAAAGUACUUCUCUGUUGUAG
RNAcentral lists this ribosomal RNA (477 nucleotides) under Triticum aestivum (bread wheat). RNAcentral's name for it is "partial small subunit ribosomal RNA". The record is from RNAcentral. Lineage: Eukaryota; Viridiplantae; Streptophyta; Magnoliopsida; Poales; Poaceae.